CUACGGAGGGUGCAAGCGUUACUCGGAAUCACUGGGCGUAAAGCGCGCGCAGGCGGCUUGAUAAGUUGGAUGUGAAAGCCUACGGCUCAACCGUAGAACUGCAUCCAAAACUGUCAAGCUAGAGUGUGGGAGAGGAAGAUGGAAUUAGUUGUGUAGGGGUAAAAUCCGUAGAGAUAACUAGGAAUACCAAAAGCGAAGGCAAUCUUCUGGAACACUACUGACGCUGAGGCGCGAAGGCGUGGGGAGCAAACAGGAUUAGAUACCCUAGUAGUCC
This 274-nucleotide ribosomal RNA is filed under the name uncultured bacterium. Its description in RNAcentral is "partial 16S ribosomal RNA". It matches the Rfam family "Bacterial small subunit ribosomal RNA", at positions 523 to 796 of the family's 1533-position model. The record is from RNAcentral.